Molecule: long non-coding RNA, 264 nt
Organism: Oncorhynchus tshawytscha (Chinook salmon)
Lineage: Eukaryota; Metazoa; Chordata; Actinopteri; Salmoniformes; Salmonidae
Source: Ensembl
GAAAUAGGGUGAGGACUGGACUUACUGCAGGGAGGGAAAUAGGGUAAGGACUGGACUUACUGCAGGGGAGGACUGGACUUACUGCAGGGGGAAAUAGGGGUAAGGACUGGACUUACUGCAGGGAGGGAAAUAGGGUAAGGACUGGACUCACUGCAGGGAGGACUGAAAGGACAACAGGACACAGACAGACACACUCGCAAGCACACACACACACACACAGACUCACGCUGGACAUUCAGUGCAUUCUGAAAGUAUUCAGACCCC